GGAAAAUGUAGAUUUUAUAAGAAUAAUUCUAACACGGUUUCAACUUUUAACGCUGAGGAGGCUGUUCUUCUUCCCAAAUUUAAAGAAGACGAAGGAACCUAUUUUAUUGAGCUCAUGUUCUUAAACGAGCUUCCAACUGAUGAAACUGUAUCUGCAGGCAUUCCAGCAAGGUUUGGCAUGGCCAAAUGGCCUAAUUAGCCAUCAAGAUUCUGGCCAGGUGACUUGAACCAGGCAUUGCCUAGGCAAAUAU
This 250-nucleotide unclassified non-coding RNA is filed under the name Hevea brasiliensis (rubber tree). The record is from RNAcentral. Lineage: Eukaryota; Viridiplantae; Streptophyta; Magnoliopsida; Malpighiales; Euphorbiaceae.